This 495-nucleotide ribosomal RNA is filed under the name uncultured bacterium. RNAcentral describes it as "partial 16S ribosomal RNA". It matches the Rfam family "Bacterial small subunit ribosomal RNA", at positions 28 to 507 of the family's 1533-position model. The record is from RNAcentral.
GACGAACGCUGGCGGCGUGCCUAAUACAUGCAAGUAGAACGCUGAAGGAGGAGCUUGCUUCUCUGGAUGAGUUGCGAACGGGUGAGUAACGCGUAGGUAACCUGCCUGGUAGCGGGGGAUAACUAUUGGAAACGAUAGCUAAUACCGCAUAAUAUUGACUAUUGCAUGAUAGUCAGUUGAAAGGUGCAACUGCACCACUACCAGAUGGACCUGCGUUGUAUUAGCUAGUUGGUGGGGUAACGGCUCACCAAGGCGACGAUACAUAGCCGACCUGAGAGGGUGAUCGGCCACACUGGGACUGAGACACGGCCCAGACUCCUACGGGAGGCAGCAGUAGGGAACCUUCGGCAAUGGACGGAAGUCUGACCGAGCAACGCCGCGUGAGUGAAGAAGGUUUUCGGAUCGUAAAGCUCUGUUGUAAGAGAAGAACGAGUGUGAGAGUGGAAAGCUCACACUGUGACGGUAUCUCACCAGAAAGGGACGGCUAACUACGUG